GGACGAACGCUGGCGGCGUGCUUAACACAUGCAAGUCGAACGGAAAGGCCCUGCUUUUGUGGGGUGCUCGAGUGGCGAACGGGUGAGUAACACGUGAGUAACCUGCCCUUGACUUUGGGAUAACUUCAGGAAACUGGGGCUAAUACCGGAUAGGAGCUCCUGCUGCAUGGUGGGGGUUGGAAAGUUUCGGCGGUUGGGGAUGGAUUCGCGGCUUAUCAGCUUGUUGGUGGGGUAGUGGCUUACCAAGGCUUUGACGGGUAGCCGGCCUGAGAGGGUGACCGGCCACAUUGGGACUGAGAUACGGCCCAGACUCCUACGGGAGGCAGCAGUGGGGAAUAUUGCACAAUGGGCGGAAGCCUGAUGCAGCAACGCCGCGUGCGGGAUGACGGCCUUCGGGUUGUAAACCGCUUUCGCCUGUGACGAAGCGUGAGUGACGGUAAUGGGUAAAGAAGCACCGGCUAACUACGUG
This 469-nucleotide ribosomal RNA is filed under the name uncultured bacterium. Its description in RNAcentral is "partial 16S ribosomal RNA". It matches the Rfam family "Bacterial small subunit ribosomal RNA", at positions 27 to 507 of the family's 1533-position model. The record is from RNAcentral.